CAGUAGCCACGGUAAUACGUAGGUCCCGAGCGUUGUCCGGAUUUAUUGGGCGUAAAGCGCGCGCAGGUGGCUUAAUAAGUCUGAUGUGAAAGCCCACGGCUCAACCGUGGAGGGUCAUUGGAAACUGGUUGACUUGAGUGCAGAAGAGGAGAGUGGAAUUCCAUGUGUAGCGGUGAAAUGCGUAGAUAUAUGGAGGAACACCGGUGGCGAAAGCGGCUCUCUGGCUUGUAACUGACGCUCAUGCACGAAAGCGUGGGGAGCAAACAGGAUUAGAUACCCGGGUAGUCCCUGUCUCUUAUAC
This 301-nucleotide ribosomal RNA is filed under the name uncultured bacterium. RNAcentral describes it as "partial 16S ribosomal RNA". It matches the Rfam family "Bacterial small subunit ribosomal RNA", at positions 509 to 807 of the family's 1533-position model. The record is from RNAcentral.